This is a long non-coding RNA of Passer domesticus (house sparrow), 933 nucleotides long. RefSeq lists it as uncharacterized. The transcript has 3 exons. The record is from RefSeq and is a predicted model, not a curated record. NCBI's taxonomy places the organism in Eukaryota, Metazoa, Chordata, Aves, Passeriformes, Passeridae.
CAGGAGCAGGGUUGAAAACUGCAUUUUCUCAUUUUGAGCAGCCUAGUGGAAAUCUGAAAGCUCAACACUUCUGCAAGCAGCCGGCCGAGCCGUCCUGCCCCGAGUGUCCAAGGAACCAGCAGCCAACAUGAGUCAACGCUCUGGGAAACGUCGGCCUGCCAAGGUCACGUGCCUCUCAAGCAACUCCAAGAGCAGCUGCCUGCUGGCCUCUACUCUUACCCAAAAUACAACCCUUCAGAUUACAAUUUCUUCAAGAGAGCACAGCACCUGAGACCAAACAGAAAUUUGUUACAAGUUCAUGGAUCUUGAAAGUAGUGAAAUCCUAGAAGACAGAAUUUCCCCAGCAGAAAUCAAGUAAACCUUCCUCAAGGUUACACUGCCCUGUGCUGAGGACAUAGACCAGGCUGAAGGAACUGGUACCUGCAAUUUCUGUGCUAAAGGAGUGCUGUUCCACCCCAGAGCAGCCCAGAGCAGAGCUGUGGUCCAAGCAAAGAGGAAAGUCAAACACAAGCAGAGGUGUAAGAGGAGGACGUUUUGGUGGCUCUGAUGAGAGAGGAAUGCCCUGGUGCAAACUGCAAUCUGGGUCACUGUGGCAGGGGAAGGAGAAGAUAAAAAGCCUCAGAUGGCUGGGGAAAGGUGUUUGGCAAGAGCCUGGGAGAUCCACCUAGAAAAAUCUGAAUCUACUAAGACAAAGGAAACUUAUGAUUCAAUUUCAAGAUGUCAGGUCAGCCAUGAAGAUAGAUAUAGACAGAGAGAAGGAGAGGUGAGAAUGCACCUCCUUUGCUUUUAAAAGAAAGGCCAGAGAAGAAGAAAAUCAACUAAAUAUAACAGCCAGUGAAAUAAGUAAAACAUCUGGGAGGUUAUUUUCUUGGUAACAAGCUAAUGUAAAUAGACCUUUGUAUUAGGUCAUAAAUGUGACUUCCACAAAGAUGU